This 406-nucleotide ribosomal RNA is filed under the name uncultured bacterium. Its description in RNAcentral is "partial 16S ribosomal RNA". It matches the Rfam family "Bacterial small subunit ribosomal RNA", at positions 30 to 526 of the family's 1533-position model. The record is from RNAcentral.
AUUGAACGCUGGCGGCAGGCCUAACACAUGCAAGUCGAACGAGUGGCGGACGGGUGAGUAAUGUCUGGGAAACUGCCUGAUGGAGGGGGAUAACUCCUGUAAACGGUAUCUAAUAUCGCAUACCAUCAGAUGUGCCCAGAUGGGAUUAGCUAGUAGUGGGGGUAACGGCUCACCUAGGCGACGAUCCCUAGCUGGUCUGAGAGGAUGACCAGCCAAACUGGAACUGAGACACGGUCCAGACUCCUACGGGAGGCAGCAGUGGGGAAUAUUGCACAAUGGGCGCAAGCCUGAUGCAGCCAUGCCGCGUGUAUGAAGAAGGCCUUCGGGUUGUAAAGUACUUUCAGCGGGGAGGCGUUACCCGCAGAAGAAGCACCGGCUAACUCCGUGCCAGCAGCCGCGGUAAUAC